Molecule: ribosomal RNA, 1356 nt
Filed under: Limosilactobacillus fermentum
Lineage: Bacteria; Bacillati; Bacillota; Bacilli; Lactobacillales; Lactobacillaceae
Description: bacterial SSU rRNA
Rfam family: Bacterial small subunit ribosomal RNA
Source: RNAcentral
UUGAUUUUGGUCGCCAACGAGUGGCGGACGGGUGAGUAACACGUAGGUAACCUGCCCAGAAGCGGGGGACAACAUUUGGAAACAGAUGCUAAUACCGCAUAACAGCGUUGUUCGCAUGAACAACGCUUAAAAGAUGGCUUCUCGCUAUCACUUCUGGAUGGACCUGCGGUGCAUUAGCUUGUUGGUGGGGUAACGGCCUACCAAGGCGAUGAUGCAUAGCCGAGUUGAGAGACUGAUCGGCCACAAUGGGACUGAGACACGGCCCAUACUCCUACGGGAGGCAGCAGUAGGGAAUCUUCCACAAUGGGCGCAAGCCUGAUGGAGCAACACCGCGUGAGUGAAGAAGGGUUUCGGCUCGUAAAGCUCUGUUGUUAAAGAAGAACACGUAUGAGAGUAACUGUUCAUACGUUGACGGUAUUUAACCAGAAAGUCACGGCUAACUACGUGCCAGCAGCCGCGGUAAUACGUAGGUGGCAAGCGUUAUCCGGAUUUAUUGGGCGUAAAGAGAGUGCAGGCGGUUUUCUAAGUCUGAUGUGAAAGCCUUCGGCUUAACCGGAGAAGUGCAUCGGAAACUGGAUAACUUGAGUGCAGAAGAGGGUAGUGGAACUCCAUGUGUAGCGGUGGAAUGCGUAGAUAUAUGGAAGAACACCAGUGGCGAAGGCGGCUACCUGGUCUGCAACUGACGCUGAGACUCGAAAGCAUGGGUAGCGAACAGGAUUAGAUACCCUGGUAGUCCAUGCCGUAAACGAUGAGUGCUAGGUGUUGGAGGGUUUCCGCCCUUCAGUGCCGGAGCUAACGCAUUAAGCACUCCGCCUGGGGAGUACGACCGCAAGGUUGAAACUCAAAGGAAUUGACGGGGGCCCGCACAAGCGGUGGAGCAUGUGGUUUAAUUCGAAGCUACGCGAAGAACCUUACCAGGUCUUGACAUCUUGCGCCAACCCUAGAGAUAGGGCGUUUCCUUCGGGAACGCAAUGACAGGUGGUGCAUGGUCGUCGUCAGCUCGUGUCGUGAGAUGUUGGGUUAAGUCCCGCAACGAGCGCAACCCUUGUUACUAGUUGCCAGCAUUAAGUUGGGCACUCUAGUGAGACUGCCGGUGACAAACCGGAGGAAGGUGGGGACGACGUCAGAUCAUCAUGCCCCUUAUGACCUGGGCUACACACGUGCUACAAUGGACGGUACAACGAGUCGCGAACUCGCGAGGGCAAGCAAAUCUCUUAAAACCGUUCUCAGUUCGGACUGCAGGCUGCAACUCGCCUGCACGAAGUCGGAAUCGCUAGUAAUCGCGGAUCAGCAUGCCGCGGUGAAUACGUUCCCGGGCCUUGUACACACCGCCCGUCACACCAUGAGAGUUUGUAA